UACGUAGGGGGCAAGCGUUGUCCGGAUUUAUUGGGCGUAAAGAGCGUGUAGGCGGCCAGGUAGGUCCGUUGUGAAAACUCGAGGCUCAACCUCGAGACGCCGAUGGAAACCAUCUGACUAGAGUCCGGAAGAGGAGAGUGGAAUUCCUGGUGUAGCGGUGAAAUGCGCAGAUAUCAGGAAGAACACCCGUGGCUAAGGCGGCUCUCUAGUACGGUACUGACGCUGAGACGCGAAAGCGUGGGGAGCGAACAGG
RNAcentral lists this ribosomal RNA (253 nucleotides) under uncultured bacterium. RNAcentral describes it as "partial 16S ribosomal RNA". It matches the Rfam family "Bacterial small subunit ribosomal RNA", at positions 524 to 776 of the family's 1533-position model. The record is from RNAcentral.